AUACGGAGGGUGCAAGCGUUACUCGGAAUCACUGGGCGUAAAGCGCGCGCAGGCGGUCUUUUAAGUUGGAUGUGAAAGCCUACGGCUCAACCGUAGAACUGUAUCCAAAGCUAUUAGACUAGAGUGUGGGAGAGGAAGAUGGAAUUAGUUGUGUAGGGGUAAAAUCCGUAGAGAUAACUAGGAAUACCAAAAGCGAAGGCAAUCUUCUGGAACACUACUGACGCUGAGGCGCGAAAGCGUGGGGAGCAAACAGGAUUAGAAACCCGUGUAGUCC
RNAcentral lists this ribosomal RNA (274 nucleotides) under uncultured bacterium. Its description in RNAcentral is "partial 16S ribosomal RNA". It matches the Rfam family "Bacterial small subunit ribosomal RNA", at positions 523 to 796 of the family's 1533-position model. The record is from RNAcentral.